This 496-nucleotide ribosomal RNA is filed under the name uncultured bacterium. RNAcentral describes it as "partial 16S ribosomal RNA". It matches the Rfam family "Bacterial small subunit ribosomal RNA", at positions 28 to 507 of the family's 1533-position model. The record is from RNAcentral.
GAUGAACGCUGGCGGCGUGCCUAAUACAUGCAAGUCGAGCGAACAGACGAGGAGCUUGCUCCUCUGACGUUAGCGGCGGACGGGUGAGUAACACGUGGAUAACCUACCUAUAAGACUGGGAUAACCUCGGGAAACCGGAGCUAAUACCGGAUAAUAUAUUGAACCGCAUGGUUCAAUAGUGAAAGACGGUUUUGCUGUCACUAUAGGUUGAUCCGCGCCGCAUUAGCUAGUUGGUAAGGUAACGGCUUACCAAGGCAACGAUGCGUAGCCGACCUGAGAGGGUGAUCGGCCACACUGGAACUGAGACACGGUCCAGACUCCUACGGGAGGCAGCAGUAGGGAAUCUUCCGCAAUGGGCGAAAGCUUGACGGAGCAACGCCGCGUGAGUGAUGAAGGUCUUCGGAUCGUAAAACUCUGUUAUUAGGGAAGAACAAAUGUGUAAGUAACUAUGCACGUCUUGACGGUACCUAAUCAGAAAGCCACGGCUAACUACGUG